This 733-nucleotide ribosomal RNA is filed under the name uncultured bacterium. RNAcentral's name for it is "bacterial SSU rRNA". It matches the Rfam family "Bacterial small subunit ribosomal RNA", at positions 56 to 785 of the family's 1533-position model. The record is from RNAcentral.
UGCAGUCGAGCGGUAGAGAGAAGCUUGCUUCUCUUGAGAGCGGCGGACGGGUGAGUAAUGCCUAGGAAUCUGCCUAGUGGUGGGGGAUAACGUUCGGAAACGGACGCUAAUACCGCAUACGUCCUACGGGAGAAAGCGGGGGAUCUUCGGACCUCGCGCCAUUAGAUGAGCCUAGGUCGGAUUAGCUAGUUGGUGAGGUAAUGGCUCACCAAGGCGACGAUCCGUAACUGGUCUGAGAGGAUGAUCAGUCACACUGGAACUGAGACACGGUCCAGACUCCUACGGGAGGCAGCAGUGGGGAAUAUUGGACAAUGGGCGAAAGCCUGAUCCAGCCAUGCCGCGUGUGUGAAGAAGGUCUUCGGAUUGUAAAGCACUUUAAGUUGGGAGGAAGGGCAGUAACCUAAUACGUUAUUGUUUUGACGUUACCGACAGAAUAAGCACCGGCUAACUUCGCGCCAGCAGCCGCGGUAAUACGAAGGGUGCAAGCGUUAAUCGGAAUUACUGGGCGUAAAGCGCGCGUAGGUGGUUCAGUAAGUUGGAAGUGAAAUCCCCGGGCUCAACCUGGGAACUGCUUUCAAAACUGCUGAGCUAGAGUACGGUAGAGGGUGGUGGAAUUUCCUGUGUAGCGGUGAAAUGCGUAGAUAUAGGAAGGAACACCAGUGGCGAAGGCGACCACCUGGACUGAUACUGACACUGAGGUGCGAAAGCGUGGGGAGCAAACAGGAUUAGAUAC